Molecule: transfer-messenger RNA, 370 nt
Filed under: Pedobacter sp.
Lineage: Bacteria; Pseudomonadati; Bacteroidota; Sphingobacteriia; Sphingobacteriales; Sphingobacteriaceae
Rfam family: transfer-messenger RNA
About the family: Bacterial tmRNA, also known as 10Sa RNA or SsrA, is named for its dual tRNA and mRNA-like properties. Its role is to liberate the mRNA from a stalled ribosome.
Source: RNAcentral
GGGGCUGUUCCUGGAUUUGACAGGGUGGCGCUGAAUAUGUAAGCAUGCAGUGCGUUGUACGGUGAGCACUUUAAAGAGAACGUUCAAAACAAUAAUUGGCGAAAAUACUUACGCCUUAGCUGCCUAGUUUAGAACUUCGUAAGCUUUUGUCUCGCUAACUGCCGCAUAGUUAGGUUAGCAUCAGAGGCAUCAUAAUAACCAUGCUAGCUUUUGUAGAGGUACGAUGCAAUUGCGAAACAAAGUAUCUAAGGAUGUUGUCAAGGUCGGUUUCCAGCCCGACGCAUCACGAAAAACAAUUGGAAAAUAAGCACGUAGAAAGCAUAAUUUAUCACACAACUGGACAAGGGUUCGACUCCCUUCAGCUCCACAA